This 611-nucleotide ribosomal RNA is filed under the name Salmonella enterica subsp. enterica serovar Oslo. RNAcentral's name for it is "partial 23S ribosomal RNA". It matches the Rfam family "Bacterial large subunit ribosomal RNA", at positions 583 to 1196 of the family's 2925-position model. The record is from RNAcentral. Lineage: Bacteria; Pseudomonadati; Pseudomonadota; Gammaproteobacteria; Enterobacterales; Enterobacteriaceae.
CUUUUGGGUGUGACUGCGUACCUUUUGUAUAAUGGGUCAGCGACUUAUAUUCUGUAGCAAGGUUAACCGAAUAGGGGAGCCGGAGGGAAACCGAGUCUUAAUUGGGCGUUAAGUUGCAGGGUAUAGACCCGAAACCCGGUGAUCUAGCCAUGGGCAGGUUGAAGGUUGGGUAACACUAACUGGAGGACCGAACCGACUAAUGUUGAAAAAUUAGCGGAUGACCUGUGGCUGGGGGUGAAAGGCCAAUCAAACCGGGAGAUAGCUGGUUCUCCCCGAAAGCUAUUUAGGUAGCGCCUCGUGAAUUCAUCUCCGGGGGUAGAGCACUGUUUCGGCUAGGGGGCCAUCCCGGCUUACCAACCCGAUGCAAACUGCGAAUACCGGAGAAUGUUAUCACGGGAGACACACGGCGGGUGCUAACGUCCGUCGUGAAGAGGGAAACAACCCAGACCGCCAGCUAAGGUCCCAAAGUCAUGGUUAAGUGGGAAACGAUGUGGGAAGGCCCAGACAGCCAGGAUGUUGGCUUAGAAGCAGCCAUCAUUUAAAGAAAGCGUAAUAGCUCACUGGUCGAGUCGGCCUGCGCGGAAGAUGUAACGGGGCUAAACCAUGCACCG